RNAcentral lists this long non-coding RNA (237 nucleotides) under Salvia miltiorrhiza (redroot sage). RNAcentral's name for it is "long non-coding RNA (SMIL_LNC009938)". The record is from RNAcentral. Lineage: Eukaryota; Viridiplantae; Streptophyta; Magnoliopsida; Lamiales; Lamiaceae.
UCAUUUCAACUUCGUUUGAUAUUUCUUUAAAAUGCAAAACCUAAACUGUGCAUUAUUACCGAGAAUUUCAGAAAACAGGGGAAAGAGUCAUUCAUUUCAGUAGCUUCCUAUGUGAUCUAGCUUUCCAAAUUUUUAUGGUAUCAACCUUAUUGUGUUAGCUAGAUAUACACCAAAGUUGAGCCCAGUUUGACAACGUUUACUAUUUUUCAAAAAUUGUAACUUUCGGUUACACAAAAC